GAUUCUUGGAGAUGGAGAUACAGACGUGAAAUGUCCCUGUCUGAAUUGAAAGCAGGAAUGGGACUUGACUUUGGAAGUGCCUUAUCACCCCCGGAAUACCUAGGUUGGAGCCAAGAACCGGUAGCACUGUUGGACGCAUGCAGGAUGUUGGCAUCGUUCAGUUGCAUCACGACCAGUGCUGGCUGGAGCAGCCCACCACACAGAGAGUCAGCAGAAUAAGUCCAGCUAGAAGUUUUGGACUCGGCUCCAUUCUAAGGAACAUCAAUGCGACCAUAAAAAUAGACUUAGACUGCGUUGAGCCAAGACUCCUUUGGUGAAAAGCCUAACACUGGUGUCACUAACGCGGCAGAAGACGGAAGUGGGAGUCAUCUGUGGUUUUCAC
Molecule: long non-coding RNA, 382 nt
Organism: Lagenorhynchus albirostris (white-beaked dolphin)
Lineage: Eukaryota; Metazoa; Chordata; Mammalia; Artiodactyla; Delphinidae
Exons: 3
Source: RefSeq, a predicted model, not a curated record